AGAGUUUGAUCCUGGCUCAGAACGAACGCUGGCGGCAGGCCUAACACAUGCAAGUCGAGCGCACCUUCGGGUGAGCGGCGGACGGGUUAGUAACGCGUGGGAACGUACCCUUUUCUACGGAAUAGCCUUUGGAAACGAAGAGUAAUACCGUAUACGCCCUUUGGGGGAAAGAUUUAUCGGAGAAGGAUCGGCCCGCGUUAGAUUAGAUAGUUGGUGGGGUAACGGCCUACCAAGUCUACGAUCUAUAGCUGGUUUUAGAGGAUGAUCAGCAACACUGGGACUGAGACACGGCCCAGACUCCUACGGGAGGCAGCAGUGGGGAAUCUUAGACAAUGGGCGCAAGCCUGAUCUAGCCAUGCCGCGUGAGUGAUGAAGGCCUUAGGGUCGUAAAACUCUUUCGCCUGUGAUGAUAAUGACAGUAGCAGGUAAAGAAACCCCGGCUAACUCCGUGCCAGCAGCCGCGGUAAUACGGGGGGGGUUAGCGUUGUUCGGAAUUACUGGGCGUAAAGCGCACGUAGGCGGAUUAGAAAGUUGGGGGUGAAAUCCCGGGGCUCAACCCCGGAACUGCCUCCAAAACUAUCAGUCUAGAGUUCGAGAGAGGUGAGUGGAAUUCCAAGUGUAGAGGUGAAAUUCGUAGAUAUUUGGAGGAACACCAGUGGCGAAGGCGGCUCACUGGCUCGAUACUGACGCUGAGGUGCGAAAGUGUGGGGAGCAAACAGGAUUAGAUACCCUGGUAGUCCACACCGUAAACGAUGAAUGCCAGUCGUCGGGCAGUAUACUGUUCGGUGACACACCUAACGGAUUAAGCAUUCCGCCUGGGGAGUACGGUCGCAAGAUUAAAACUCAAAGGAA
RNAcentral lists this ribosomal RNA (852 nucleotides) under marine metagenome. RNAcentral's name for it is "bacterial SSU rRNA". It matches the Rfam family "Bacterial small subunit ribosomal RNA", at positions 8 to 909 of the family's 1533-position model. The record is from RNAcentral.